RNAcentral lists this ribosomal RNA (274 nucleotides) under uncultured bacterium. Its description in RNAcentral is "partial 16S ribosomal RNA". It matches the Rfam family "Bacterial small subunit ribosomal RNA", at positions 523 to 796 of the family's 1533-position model. The record is from RNAcentral.
AUACGGAGGGUGCGAGCGUUAAUCGGAAUUACUGGGCGUAAAGCGCGCGUAGGCGGUUUGGUCAGUCAGAUGUGAAAGCCCUGGGCUCAACCUGGGAACUGCAUUUGAUACUGCCAGGCUAGAGUAUGGUAGAGGGAAGUGGAAUUCCGGGUGUAGCGGUGAAAUGCGUAGAUAUCCGGAGGAACACCAGUGGCGAAGGCGACUUCCUGGACCAAUACUGACGCUGAGGUGCGAAAGCGUGGGUAGCAAACAGGAUUAGAUACCCUUGUAGUCC